Molecule: ribosomal RNA, 83 nt
Filed under: Peribacillus simplex
Lineage: Bacteria; Bacillati; Bacillota; Bacilli; Caryophanales; Bacillaceae
Also listed under: 1 other name
Source: RNAcentral
CCCAUUCCGAACACGGCAGUUAAGCUCUUCAGCGCCGAUGGUAGUUGGGGGUCUCCCCCUGUGAGAGUAGGACGCCGCCAAGC